CAAUGCUAUUGCAUUGACACGAAAUCAAGAUAAAUACCAAACUUCAAUCUUAUAUCCCAAGGUGGCGAGCAGCGUUUACGUCAUGGUGCUUAUGAUUAUGGACUGACUAGUACUACUUAACAAUGUCGGCCAUAGCGAGUGCUUCUUCUCUUCUUGCAGUUUAAAAUCAAAUCUCAAACUGAUGUUGGGAAGUUACUAUGUAAAGAAAAUAAAGCUGUAUUGGCUGAUAAAAAAAAUUACAUUUAGGUUCCGACCACCAAGACCAGUCAAAACGCCAAGAUCUUUUAAUCUUUGAUGCAUUCUUAUCAUGCAAUUGUCACUCAAAUUUUCUUUAGUGCCUGGUCUAACUAGUUCCAUUGCCAACAUCAGACCUUUACCCCUGACGUCACCAAUAAUCGGAAAUUGUUGUUGAAGCUGUAUUAAUUGACGAAUAAAAUAUUCUCCUAUCUUCUUGCAAUGAUCUUGAAUGUUUUCAUCGUCAAUCACCUUAAAAAUACAGAACUAUUAAAGUGGAAUGAAACGACAUCUCAUUUACUGAAAAUUCGUUUGCUGACUUGAAGCCGACUUCGAUUAAGAUAUCAGAUACUAUGCAAUCUGCUUAGUAAAAUUAAAAGUUUUGUCUAUCCUAAUAAAUAAUAUAAUAAUAAAUAAUACAAUAAAAUCUA
This is a long non-coding RNA of Bombyx mori (domestic silkworm), 665 nucleotides long. RefSeq lists it as uncharacterized. Lineage: Eukaryota; Metazoa; Arthropoda; Insecta; Lepidoptera; Bombycidae. The transcript is spliced from 2 exons. The record is from RefSeq and is a predicted model, not a curated record.